GAUUUGCAAUUAUGCCAGCAGGCCUUAUGGUGGGGGUUAUUGUGCUGGAGCAGAGAUGGAAGCUGGUAUUGGGGAUGGGAAAGCAGGUGUGUACAGCCCUGCAGAGCAGCCCUGGUGCAGUUCCCCUGGUUGGGGAACAUGGGGUUUUUACUGGCUGGGGACAGAAAAUUUGUAAUUGUGUUCCAGGAUCCAUGGUCGCUUGUUUGAGCUUAGCUGUCAGCCUGACAGCACACCCUUAUCCUUUCCAGCCUGCCAUCCGUUGUGUCCCUGCUUGCUCAUGUGGAGUUUUGGGAGUGAUGUAUUUGCUGCCAAAGUUUCAAGAGCUCACGCUUGAUGGCCGUGCUGUGUGAAGCAGCCUUGGCAGGUUACUUACUACCAGAGGGCUUGGAAACUUGGGAUUUCAGAAGUGCAAUGCUCAGGACUGCUCACUGCUGUUACAGCAACACUCAUGGUUUUCCACAAACUCUUCUUUCUUCUUGCUUAGGGCAGUAAUGCUGUCUGAGGGUGCUGACUGCUGCCCAGGCUUUUUUGCAAGUGUGUGAAGAAAAUGAGCAUUAUCAUUAAGAACAGCUGUUUGUAUAUGGCAUUUGCACCAGCUCACUUAUGCACUUUUAUUUCUAUAGCCUGCCCCAUACCAAUCACUGUCCUACCCUAAUGCUUCUAUUUUUCCCUGUUUAUUGACCAGUAGGAAGACAAUUUAUGAAAUGUUUUUAGUUUUCCAGAGAUUUCAGUGCAAGGUGUACAUCUUCAUUAGGAGUUCAUAAGGAGUAACAUCAUGAGUCCUUCCCCUGUUGCCAUAAGUGAGCCUCAGGGAACACCUCCCAGGGAUCCAGUGGAGUGACUCUCUUCUUCCCUCUGCUCUGCUUUUGGUUUUCCUGCUGUGAUCAUGAAUGGAAACAGCCUAAGAAGCUCAAUUCUGUAUUGAAACUGCCUCCUAGGUUUCUAAUGUGUGAUUUUGACCCAUUGGAUGGGGGAUGAAUAUUUUUAAAUUGUCUUAUUUGAAAUUAAAGGAAGUUUUUUAAUUAAAGGAAAAUUUUGCUCUCAGAAGAAUUCAGGUUUGUGGUCAUUUUCCUCUAGAUAUAAACAAAAAGCUCAUUCCAAACCCUGAAAAUUUGCAUCCUGUAAAUAUUGUAAAAUGCUUCAACUUUCACAAACAUGGUACGAUAAAUGAGAACUUUUUAGUUGAGAGUGAAACUCAAUUGUUGUAUAACUUUUCUACUCAAUUAUAACCAUGCCUGAACAUUUUCAAGCUCCCUUGUCCUUUGCUGCAAUCAGAUCUAUUUUUUUCACAGACACUGUGGCCCAGCAACUCGGCGUUAGUAGAGUAACAAGUGAUUAGAAGCAGAUAUGAACUUCUGACUACCAAAUGGAUAGCCUCCCAUUAAGGCAGCUGAAGAAAAUGUCUUUUUAGCAUGGAAAUUUCUGAACAGCUCUUCACUGGAAAUCUUCACAAGUUUGAAACAAGAAGAGUCUCUUCUAUCAGCAAAGAUCUUUAGAAGGUGUCUCAGCAAAAACCUGGACAAGCCCCAAGUAUUGACCUUGGUCCUAAUCUGCAUGGUUCUCUAAUCACUUAUUCCCAUGAGGAUGGUCAGACCCUCGUCUCUUAGCAGUGGCUGCAAAUGGGUGAAGUGACACUGUGAACCCCUGGUGACAUCCUGCAUGUGACCAGCGCCUGAGGCACGUCUGCUCCGUGGGCUGACUGUGGUGGGUGAUUCCAGCCAUUCCAUAGCCCCUGGCAGGAUGAAGCUGAGAUGUCCCAGCACUCAGGCUUGGAUCCCUGCUGGCUGCUGGAGCACAGCCAUGGAGAGCAGCGUUCACAGAGCUGCCCUGUCGUGUGGUAGGCAAGGAGGUUAUAACCACAUCUCCUGCACCACAGAAUCCGUGCCAUGAGCUGUCAUCUUCCAACUCUGUCUUCCCCACCCCCAUUUCAUUUAACAUACAGUGCAAAAAGAAGCUGGACUGGUCCCACAUGAGGGGACCAUGGUGCAAUCUUCUCUCUGAGCAUGAAACAGGAUCCCUUAGGAAUAAUGGGAUUAACUGAGGAGAAGUAGGGGCACUUAGCUUCUGGCAUUAUUAAAUCUUGCAAUCCUUAUUUGAAAUUUUGCACCACACAUCUCAAGCUACUUUUUGCAGAGGCAGACAAUAACUGUCAUCUGUCUGGGAUUUGUGCAGAACAAUAACACUGGGUUUUUAACAGCGGAUUAUGGAUAUUCUAUCCAGCUCAUGCCUGCUGUAACUCUACUAACAUCAAAGGGUUUGCACUAGGGAUGAAGUUUGCACAUUCAACUUUGUUGGCCAAAUUCAAGUUAGGAAAUUCAAUGUUGUUGAACAAGAUCAGUCAUUAAAACACAUAAUAACUUAUUGUCCUUUUGCUAAUCAUCAUUAAAUGAGCUAAAUGUCCUAAACUAGCCCUUGCUUUCUUGCAGGAUGGAUUCAAUUUGGCUUAAGAUGAAGCUCCAGAUCUGUCACCCAUAGUCAGCAUCCCAGCUGCCCUCACUCCAUUGGAUCCAGCUGAAGUACUCUGCUCAGCAGGAGAGCUCAGCUGGGCUAAUGGGCCCUAGGGGCUUGUUCCACUAUUUUCUCAUCUCCUGUUAGGUUUUAGCCAGGUACAGAAUCCACUGCCUAUUUCCUGAUUAAUCCAGUAUCUGUUUUGUCACAGCUGAAAAUAGCAAGAAGCCUACGGAGAGCUUUAAAUAGUGGCAAGUCAGAGCAGGUAAGAGCUGUCAUCUGCUGCAGAGUGGGAGGUCAGACUGAUGUAUGUAAUGCACCUACAGUGAAGUCAAGCAAGAAGACCCUUUUCUCCAAAGCUAAGCAGCUUUCAUAACUCCCACCAACAAGAAGGUGACAGGAGAGGGAGCCUAGCUUUUCAUUUGCUCUGCUGAAGUGGAGGAACGGAAAUGGCUUUGAGAGAGUCUGCCAUUUCAAGCUUUUAAUGGGUGGUUUUAACCUGCCUGUUUUAAACAUGUUCGGAGGUCAAUAAAAGGCAAAGCUCUCUACUUGGGAAUCUUUCUCUCAGCACAGUCUUAGUUUAAUAGUUUUCAUUAAAUGCUUUCAUCAUCUCUUUCCCUCCUCCUUUGUUAGACUUCACAAAACCCUGCUGAUUUACUUUAGGUUUAGCUGCACUCCAGAGAAAUGCAAAUUGCACAGGUGGCCAUGCAAAGGGUCAAGAUUGAUAUUCAAGGUGUUGUCCUUUGAGCAUGAGCGAGAAGGCUAGUACUUUCCCAACUCCAUGUUUUUCCUUGUAGGAAAGGAGUCAGAUUGUGCAUCUGUUCUCUCUUGUCUGAGCCUUUCCAAACAGCUCUGUUACAUGGGCAAAGAACCAGCCGGGCUGUGCUGAAGGAAAGGCAGUCAAAGAAGCAGGGAUCGUAAAUGCUGAUGUGGCUUGGCUGCAAUAGUAGUGCAUGUAUUGUCUAAUUUCUGCAACAAAGACUAUGAAAGAAGUCAGGGUGUGAUGCAGCCAUGACCACAAUGACAGGAACAGCUCCCAAGUAGGAGCAAGUCUCUACUUCCUUUUGCUCACGCUCUGGCACCUGAGUUUUAAGAAACUGCCUUAAAAACAAACUCCUUACAUCACCAAAGAUAAUGUUCUGUUCACCUAAGGUAGAAAUCUAGAAUAAAUCUGUCUGUGGUGUAAAGCAUCAGAUUUCUUUUUCAAGCAUGAUGGAAAUAACAGUUCUUAUCUAAUUCUAAUGAGUACUUGAGUCUUAGUUUUAAAUACGUUUGUGCCUCAUACAGUCUUAACUUUGACUUGUCCACUUAGGUAAAAAGACUAAUAUAUUUCUGUUAAAGAAAAAAACUGAUGUUGGAUUUGCUUGUAACAGUUAAGCAGCAGUCUUAAAUGACUUCUUAACCAAGCAGUAGUACCUUGUUACAUCCUGUAUCUAAUAUGGACAGGACUCUUGUCACCUGGUAUAUUUUUUUUGUUAUUCAAUUUCACUGCUUAUAAUAAACACUACUUUUUUUUUUCUUCUUCUAAAUGAUGUAACAAUCCCCUCCCUGUCUCAUCCCUGCACAGGUCAUGGGUAUUUAGCUGCUAAAUUUCUGUACCUCAGGAAAUUAUGCUUCCAGAACAUCUUGUUUAUAUAUUUUCUAAACUGUUGUGCUUUCCUCAAAAUGAUGAAUGUCAGCAACAGCUGGACAGUGUAUGAUUAAAUUUCACCUUGUCUCCAUUCCCAGAACUCUACUUCCAUAUGGAGUUCAGUAAAGCAGUGCUAAAAGCAUGGGAGCAGGGAUAAAUACGCCUUGAGCUGUAACUUGUUCUGCAUUCAUAACUUAGUAUUUCGGCAUGCAUUUUGCAAAGCACUAGUUUUGUUUACUAUUGUGACUUUUACAAUUCAUCUGCUGUUUUCUGUCUUUUGUCAAUUGAUUUGGAACUUUGCUUUUACACACACGAACAGAUUUUGGAUCUUACCUUUCUCUGGAGCACUGCCAAUAAUGACUUCAAUUGCAAAAAGUGUACGCUGUAAUAAAAAUGGGUGAAAAUCCAAAUUCCCCAAAUGCAGCCCUAAAGUACACAAGGGCAAACAUUUUCUAACAGAACAGAACAAGCCCUCCAAAAAGCAGCAAACACACAGGUACCUAGCAUGAAGGUACACUGUUUGCAGUUACUGUGCCUCCCCUUUCUGGCUAGUAGGGUGUGGAUCAGAUCUACCAAUGCAUACAAUUAAGCUGGGUAGUUAGUACUUUAGGGCCCUGAUUGCAAUUAAAGCUCACCAUGAUGCAAGCAAAAUGGUUUGCUGAGUAUACAACUGUUCUCUUAUUAAGUCACUUACUUUUGAGUAGUAUCUGUACAGUUUUGUGGCACAGUCAUGAUUUGCUUUUGUGAAAGCUAGCCCUUAGUAGUAACGACCUCCCAUUGGCCCAGGCCUCUGGUGUUGCACCUGGCAUGUAUUAAGUGAAUCUGAGGAUUUUGCGGGUUGUCUUCCUAUUUAAAAGUUAUACUUUUUCUAGCAACAACAUGACAUUAUUCCAGGAUGGUGAUGUUGCUUGAUCUCCCUUCUAUAGAACUGCGUUAUAGCAAGUUCUUCCCUCUUCUGUGUUUCUAGCACUUGCACAGUUUGUAGCAUUAUAGUUGAAUCUUCUUAUUCAAAUAUGGCACUUGCCCUUUUGUUUUAAAUCCCAUCACUAAUUUGAAAAGAUCAAAUAAUGUGCCUCUUCCUAGGUCAGUAUCUUCCUGUAGGUAAUGAAGGACACUUGCUUUUUGUCUUUUGGUGAUGAAUAACACUAGGCAUAGGGAGAACCCAUUUAAAAGCCUGUUCAGUGCAUCCUUCCCUGUUUCAGGGACACAGGAGAACUACCACUAGGAGUUCAGGAGGCAGGUAGGAUGCUACUUUUUUUGGGUAUCUCCAUCCUUACCCACAUGCAGGUGGGUUGGUCUAUGUCAAAUAAUACUUAAUAACUUUCCCUGCUUGUCUACUAUGCAGAAAAUAACCAACACGCAGAGAU
Molecule: long non-coding RNA, 5445 nt
Organism: Passer montanus (Eurasian tree sparrow)
Lineage: Eukaryota; Metazoa; Chordata; Aves; Passeriformes; Passeridae
Exons: 3
Source: RefSeq, a predicted model, not a curated record